CUUUCUCUAACAUGUCUGCUUUCCUGAGGAUCUUCAUUGCGUAAAUAUGACCUGUGUCCUUUUUCUGAACCAGGCGCACCUGAAUACAGCACAUAAUGAAGAUUUCUGAAGAACCGGAUGAGGUUUUCAAUGAAAUCUCUAGCAAUAUCACACACAGUGAUGGCGACAGCACUUACAUGCAUGGAAUAAGGUCUUGGCUGUGACACAUCGAAAUGAAGGAGAGUCACAGAAUUAAAGAUGAAGAAGGAAGACACAGGAACACCCAUACAAACAGGUAACAUGAUGUCAGCGCAGCCCCUACCGACACCUUAAAGACUCACCACCAAAAUAUGACACUGUCCUCAACGUGAGCAGCACACACGGGAUCAUCAAUGUAAGCACCCACAUACACACUUCAUAACAUACAGAGCUUCUGAUAAGGAGAGAAAUGGCAUGGUAAGGAUUUAAUGGAGCUGUAGUGCUUUUUCUUGUCAAUGUCUGGCAUGUGAAAGCAUGUGGGCGGCACUGAGGUCCUUCUGAAGUACACGGUGUGUUGCAACAGCCCACAACACACAGGAGGUAAUGCUUCUGAUGUCGCAGAAUGCUUUUCC
Molecule: long non-coding RNA, 590 nt
Organism: Labeo rohita (rohu)
Lineage: Eukaryota; Metazoa; Chordata; Actinopteri; Cypriniformes; Cyprinidae
Exons: 3
Source: RefSeq, a predicted model, not a curated record